UCCAGACUCCUACGGGAGGCAGCAGUGAGGAAUAUUGGUCAAUGGGCGCGAGCCUGAACCAGCCAAGUCGCGUGAGGGAUGACGGUCCUACGGAUUGUAAACCUCUUUUGCCGGGGAGCAAGCGUGCGUUCGUGAACGCGCGUCGAGAGUACCCGGAGAAAAAGCAUCGGCUAACUCCGUGCCAGCAGCCGCGGUAAUACGGAGGAUGCGAGCGUUAUCCGGAUUUAUUGGGUUUAAAGGGUGCGCAGGCGGAGGUGCAAGUCAGCGGUCAAAUUGCGGGGCUCAACCCCGUACUGCCGUUGAAACUGCAUCCCUUGAGUGCGCGAGAAGUAUGCGGAAUGCGUGGUGUAGCGGUGAAAUGCAUAGAUAUCACGCAGAACUCCGAUUGCGAAGGCAGCAUACCGGCGCGCAACUGACGCUCAUGCACGAAAGCGUGGGUAUCGAACAGGAUUAGAUACCCGUGUA
Molecule: ribosomal RNA, 465 nt
Filed under: uncultured bacterium
Lineage: Bacteria
Description: bacterial SSU rRNA
Rfam family: Bacterial small subunit ribosomal RNA
Source: RNAcentral